AAAGAUGAUAAAUGCUAAAAGUGCAUAAAGUUCAAGUGAUCCAAGUAAUAUUAACAGAAAUGAAUUAUCUUUUUCCAUUGAAAAUCUCCAUUGUUGGCGCUUAUAUUGUUUACAAUUUCAACUUUUUAAUUUUUUAUGAACACCAAACAAUCGCAAAUUGUAUAACAAUUUCGAUUUUGUCACCUCUGGAUUGUCAAAUAUAUCAGAUUAUUGGACUAUCUCUAUACAGAGGCAGGCUCGUGUGCAGGCAAAUACAUCCAUACAUUCUCUAUCUGUCAUUCAAAAUCUUAUGAAGUAGCUUAUGAUUCAUUUCUGUGGAUUUUA
This 324-nucleotide unclassified non-coding RNA is filed under the name Bombus terrestris (buff-tailed bumblebee). RNAcentral describes it as "misc RNA ENSBTSG00005021677.1". Lineage: Eukaryota; Metazoa; Arthropoda; Insecta; Hymenoptera; Apidae. The record is from RNAcentral.